UAAGGGCGCACGGUGGAUGCCUUGGCACUAGAAGCCGAUGAAGGACGUUACUAACGACGAUAUGCUUUGGGGAGCUGUAAGUAAGCUUUGAUCCAGAGAUUUCCGAAUGGGGAAACCCAGCAUGAGUUAUGUCAUGUUAUCGAUAUGUGAAUACAUAGCAUAUCAGAAGGCACACCCGGAGAACUGAAACAUCUUAGUACCCGGAGGAAGAGAAAGAAAAUUCGAUUCCCUUAGUAGCGGCGAGCGAAACGGGAAGAGCCCAAACCAACAAGCUUGCUUGUUGGGGUUGUAGGACACUCUAUACGGAGUUACAAAGGACGACAUUAGACGAAUCAUCUGGAAAGAUGAAUCAAAGAAGGUAAUAAUCCUGUAGUCGAAAAUGUUGUCUCUCUUGAGUGGAUCCUGAGUACGACGGAGCACGUGAAAUUCCGUCGGAAUCUGGGAGGACCAUCUCCUAAGGCUAAAUACUCUCUAGUGACCGAUAGUGAACCAGUACCGUGAGGGAAAGGUGAAAAGCACCCCGGAAGGGGAGUGAAAUAGAACCUGAAACCGUGUGCUUACAAGUAGUCAGAGCCCGUUAAUGGGUGAUGGCGUGCCUUUUGUAGAAUGAACCGGCGAGUUACGAUUUGAUGCAAGGUUAAGCAGUAAAUGUGGAGCCGUAGCGAAAGCGAGUCUGAAUAGGGCGUUUAGUAUUUGGUCGUAGACCCGAAACCAGGUGAUCUACCCUUGGUCAGGUUGAAGUUCAGGUAACACUGAAUGGAGGACCGAACCGACUUACGUUGAAAAGUGAGCGGAUGAACUGAGGGUAGCGGAGAAAUUCCAAUCGAACCUGGAGAUAGCUGGUUCUCUCCGAAAUAGCUUUAGGGCUAGCCUCAAGUGAUGAUUAUUGGAGGUAGAGCACUGUUUGGACGAGGGGCCCCUCUCGGGUUACCGAAUUCAGACAAACUCCGAAUGCCAAUUAAUUUAACUUGGGAGUCAGAACAUGGGUGAUAAGGUCCGUGUUCGAAAGGGAAACAGCCCAGACCACCAGCUAAGGUCCCAAAAUAUAUGUUAAGUGGAAAAGGAUGUGGCGUUGCCCAGACAACUAGGAUGUUGGCUUAGAAGCAGCCAUCAUUUAAAGAGUGCGUAAUAGCUCACUAGUCGAGUGACACUGCGCCGAAAAUGUACCGGGGCUAAACAUAUUACCGAAGCUGUGGAUUGUCCUUUGGACAAUGGUAGGAGAGCGUUCUAAGGGCGUUGAAGCAUGAUCGUAAGGACAUGUGGAGCGCUUAGAAGUGAGAAUGCCGGUGUGAGUAGCGAAAGA
RNAcentral lists this ribosomal RNA (1303 nucleotides) under Staphylococcus aureus. RNAcentral's name for it is "partial 23S ribosomal RNA". It matches the Rfam family "Bacterial large subunit ribosomal RNA", at positions 12 to 1316 of the family's 2925-position model. The record is from RNAcentral. Lineage: Bacteria; Bacillati; Bacillota; Bacilli; Caryophanales; Staphylococcaceae.